RNAcentral lists this ribosomal RNA (468 nucleotides) under uncultured bacterium. RNAcentral describes it as "partial 16S ribosomal RNA". It matches the Rfam family "Bacterial small subunit ribosomal RNA", at positions 28 to 507 of the family's 1533-position model. The record is from RNAcentral.
GACGAACGCUGGCGGCGUGCUUAACACAUGCAAGUCGAACGGAAAGGCCCUGCUUUUGUGGGGUGCUCGAGUGGCGAACGGGUGAGUAACACGUGAGUAACCUGCCCCUGACUUUGGGAUAACUUCAGGAAACUGGGGCUAAUACCGGAUAGGAGCUCCUGCUGCAUGGUGGGGGUUGGAAAGUUUCGGCGGUUGGGGAUGGACACGCGGCUUAUCAGCUUGUUGGUGGGGUAGUGGCUUACCAAGGCUUUGACGGGUAGCCGGCCUGAGAGGGUGACCGGCCACAUUGGAACUGGAAUACGGCCCGGACUCCUACGGGAGGCAGCGGUGGGGAAUAUUGCACAAUAGGCGGAAGCCUGAUGCAGCAACGCCGCGUGCGGGAUGACGGCCUUCGGGUUGUAAACCACUUUCGCCUGUGACGAAGCGUGAGUGACGGUAAUGGGUGAAGAAGCACCGGCUAACUACGUG